Molecule: ribosomal RNA, 253 nt
Filed under: uncultured bacterium
Lineage: Bacteria
Description: partial 16S ribosomal RNA
Rfam family: Bacterial small subunit ribosomal RNA
Source: RNAcentral
UACGUAGGUGGCAAGCGUUGUCCGGAUUUACUGGGCGUAAAGAGCGCGCAGGCGGUCGUCCAAGUCGCGUGUGAAAGCCCCCGGCUCAACUGGGGAGGGUCACGCGAUACUGAUCGACUCGAAGGCAGGAGAGGGUAGUGGAAUUCCCGGUGUAGUGGUGAAAUGCGUAGAUAUCGGGAGGAACACCAGUGGCGAAGGCGACUACCUGGCCUGUUCUUGACGCUGAGGCGCGAAAGCUAGGGGAGCAAACAGG